UGACGUCAAGUCACCAGGUGAUCCAAAGUUUAUGGAUGCAUUUGAUAUUUUCCGAGUAGCAGUUUGUUUCUUGUGGAAUACAGGCGUGUAAAGAUCGCGAUUUACUUUUGUUUUUGUUACCCACGGAAGAAUCAUAAGGAAACUUUUGUUUUUUAUUUACGUUAUUUUGAAUUGUGAAUAACAUUAUGUAUUUAAACAUUGUAUAUGUAUUAUGCAAUAUUAUGUGGUGGAAUAAUUUUCACAAAAUAA
Molecule: non-coding RNA, 249 nt
Organism: Camellia sinensis
Lineage: Eukaryota; Viridiplantae; Streptophyta; Magnoliopsida; Ericales; Theaceae
Source: RefSeq, a predicted model, not a curated record